Molecule: ribosomal RNA, 497 nt
Filed under: uncultured bacterium
Lineage: Bacteria
Description: partial 16S ribosomal RNA
Rfam family: Bacterial small subunit ribosomal RNA
Source: RNAcentral
GAUGAACGCUGGCGGCGUGCCUAACACAUGCAAGUCGAGCGGUAUAUAUCUGAACAAAUCUUCGGAAGAGUGAUGAUAUAGAGAGCGGCGGACGGGUUAGUAACGCGUAGGCAACCUGCCCCAUACAGAGGGAUAGCCUCGGGAAACCGGGAUUAAAACCUCAUAAUGCGAAGAAGUCACAUGACUUUUUCGCCAAAGAUUUAUCGGUAUGGGAUGGGCCUGCGUCUGAUUAGCUAGUUGGUAAGGUAACGGCUUACCAAGGCAACGAUCAGUAGCCGACCUGAGAGGGUAAUCGGCCACAUUGGAACUGAGACACGGUCCAAACUCCUACGGGAGGCAGCAGUGGGGAAUAUUGCACAAUGGGCGAAAGCCUGAUGCAGCAACGCCGCGUGAGCGAUGAAGGCCUUUGGGUCGUAAAGCUCUGUCGGAAGGGAAGAAACAAAUGACGGUACCUUCUGAGGAAGCCCCGGCUAACUACGUGCCAGCAGCCGCAGUAA